CCUACGGGGCGCAGCAGUGAGGAAUAUUGGUCAAUGGCCGAGAGGCUGAACCAGCCAAGUCGCGUGAGGGAAGAAUGUCCUAUGGAUUGUAAACCUCUUUUGUCAGGGAGCAAAGUCACCCACGUGUGGGUGUUGGAGAGUACCUGAAGAAAAAGCACCGGCUAAUUCCGUGCCAGCAGCCGCGGUAAUACGGAGGAUGCGAGCGUUAUCCGGAUUUAUUGGGUUUAAAGGGUGCGUAGGCGGGUUAUUAAGUCAGCGGUAAAAUCGUGGAGCUCAACCCCGUCCAGCCGUGGAAACUGAUGAUCUUGAGUGGGCGGGAAGUAUGCGGAAUGCGUGGUGUAGCGGUGAAAUGCUUAGAUAUCACGAAGAACUCCGAUUGCGAAGGCAGUUCACUGGACUGCAACUGACGCUGAGGCUCGAAGGUGUGGGUAUCGAACAGGAUUAGAUACCCUUGUAGUC
RNAcentral lists this ribosomal RNA (459 nucleotides) under uncultured bacterium. RNAcentral's name for it is "partial 16S ribosomal RNA". It matches the Rfam family "Bacterial small subunit ribosomal RNA", at positions 338 to 795 of the family's 1533-position model. The record is from RNAcentral.